This 429-nucleotide ribosomal RNA is filed under the name Chloroflexota bacterium. Its description in RNAcentral is "Chloroflexi bacterium partial 16S ribosomal RNA". It matches the Rfam family "Bacterial small subunit ribosomal RNA", at positions 355 to 776 of the family's 1533-position model. The record is from RNAcentral. Lineage: Bacteria; Bacillati; Chloroflexota.
UGGGGAAUAUUGCACAAUGGGCGCAAGCCUGAUGCAGCCAUGCCGCGUGUGUGAAGAAGGCCUUCGGGUUGUAAAGCACUUUCAGUCGGGAGGAAGGUGGUAAGGUUAAUAACCUUAUCAAUUGACGUUACCGACAGAAGAAGCACCGGCUAACUCCGUGCCAGCAGCCGCGGUAAUACGGAGGGUGCAAGCGUUAAUCGGAAUUACUGGGCGUAAAGCGCACGCAGGCGGUUGAUUGAGUCAGAUGUGAAAUCCCCGGGCUUAACCCGGGAAUUGCAUCUGAUACUGGUCAGCUAGAGUCUUGUAGAGGGGGGUAGAAUUCCAUGUGUAGCGGUGAAAUGCGUAGAGAUCUGGAGGAAUACCGGUGGCGAAGGCGGCCCCCUGGACAAAGACUGACGCUCAGGUGCGAAAGCGUGGGGAGCAAACAGG